GUGAGGGAGUGACUGGUGACAGAGGGAGGGAGUGACUGGUGACAGAGGGAGGGAGUGACUAGUGAGGGAGGGGAUGACUCACUAGUCACCCCAUCCCUCUCUCUGUCACUAGUCACUCCCUCCCUAACUCUGUCACUGUGUCACCCGCUCCCUCACUCUGUCACUAGUCACCCCUUCCCUCCCUCACUCUGUCCCUACUCACCCCCUCCCUCUCUGUGUCACUAGUCACACCCUCCCUCAC
Non-coding RNA from Pelobates cultripes (western spadefoot toad), 241 nucleotides. The record is from the annotation of a GenBank genome assembly. NCBI's taxonomy places the organism in Eukaryota, Metazoa, Chordata, Amphibia, Anura, Pelobatidae.